UACGAAGGGGGCUAGCGUUGCUCGGAAUCACUGGGCGUAAAGGGUGCGUAGGCGGGUCUUUUAAGUCAGGGGUGAAAUCCUGGAGCUCAACUCCAGAACUGCCUUUGAUACUGAAGAUCUUGAGUUCGGGAGAGGUGAGUGGAACUGCGAGUGUAGAGGUGAAAUUCGUAGAUAUUCGCAAGAACACCAGUGGCGAAGGCGGCUCACUGGCCCCGAUACUGACGCUGAGGCACGAAAGCGUGGGGAGCGAACAGG
Molecule: ribosomal RNA, 255 nt
Filed under: uncultured bacterium
Lineage: Bacteria
Description: partial 16S ribosomal RNA
Rfam family: Bacterial small subunit ribosomal RNA
Source: RNAcentral